GAACGCACAUUGCGCCCCUUGGUAUUCCAUGGGGCAUGCCUGUUCGAGCAUCAUUUGUACCUUCAAGCUCUGCUUGGUGUUGGGUGUUUGUCUCGCCUCUGCGCGCAGACUCGCCUCAAAACGAUUGGCAGCCGGCGUAUUGAUUUCGGAGCGCAGUACAUCUCGCGCUUUGCAACCAUAACGACGACGUCCAAAAAGUACAUUUUUACACUCUUGACCUCGGAUCAGGUAGGGAUACCCGCUGAACUUAAG
This 252-nucleotide unclassified non-coding RNA is filed under the name uncultured Didymellaceae. RNAcentral describes it as "sequence contains 5.8S rRNA gene". The record is from RNAcentral. Lineage: Eukaryota; Fungi; Ascomycota; Dothideomycetes; Pleosporales; Didymellaceae.